Atractiella rhizophila is the source of this 90-nucleotide non-coding RNA. The record is from the annotation of a GenBank genome assembly. NCBI's taxonomy places the organism in Eukaryota, Fungi, Basidiomycota, Atractiellomycetes, Atractiellales, Hoehnelomycetaceae.
GUCGAAGUGUCCGAGUGGUUAAGGAGCUUGACUCGAAUCAAUCGAAAUCAAGUAGCAUCUGCUGCGCAAGUUCGAAUCUUGUCUUCGACG